GCCUGAGUGGCUCAGUGGGUUGAGCGUCUGACUUCCACUUAGGUCACGAUCUCACGGUUCAUGAGUUUGAGCCCCGUGUCAGGCU
This 85-nucleotide transfer RNA is filed under the name Felis catus (domestic cat). It matches the Rfam family "tRNA". From Rfam's summary of the family: Transfer RNA (tRNA) molecules are approximately 80 nucleotides in length. Their secondary structure includes four short double-helical elements and three loops (D, anti-codon, and T loops). Lineage: Eukaryota; Metazoa; Chordata; Mammalia; Carnivora; Felidae. The record is from Rfam by way of RNAcentral.